GGCGCCCGUCUCGGGGGCAGGUCCGCGGGGUGUGACGAAUGUUCCCGCGGCGUCUCCCCGCCCUCCCCGGCGCCUCCCCCGGCCUCGGGCAGCCGCUUUCUGCACGGCACCUCCGAAGCCGCUGGGCGUCUGUAACCAACCUGCACGUUGUGCGCAUGUGCCCCAGAAAUUAAAGUAGAAUAAACAACAACAAAACCAAAAGACCUUUUUACUUUGACGCAGUUUUAGAUUCCCAGGACGUUGCACAGAAAAUCCGGACGGAUCCUGUGCCCUCCGCCCAGCUCCCGGGGUCACAGGCAGCCUCGGCUCCGACCCCGCCGGGCGCGCGGUGACCGGCUGUGCGGGUUCCAGGGGCGGAUGUGCGCUUUGCCCGGCCCCUCUCCCGCCGCGCGGCCGCUCCUCCUCUCCGCCAAGGGCCGGUUCAGGCACAGGCCCCGCCGAGGCUGCCCCUGACUUGAGGGCUCACGCACCGGGCUGCUUGCGGCUCUGGACUAUUGUGAAUAAGGCCGGUGUGAGUAUUUUACUGUAAGUCUUUGGGGACGUGUCUUCAUGCCCCUUGGGUGAAUCCAGGUGUGAGAUUGCCGGGCCGGGGUGCUGUGAGUUACCUUUGGUUAUAGGGAGGUGGUGACCCAUGGUGGCUCCAAGUGCCCGUGGCCUUUCGUGACCCCGCCAGCAGCGGGUGGGCCUUUGGGGCGCUCCGAGGCUCGCCCGUGCUGCCCGUGGGUGCUUCAGCCAGUCCGGCCGCCGUGGCUUUCCUCUGCAGCCCCCGGUGCCUGCUGGCGUCGUGCCUUUCCGUGUGCUCGUUGGCCACGCACAUGUCGAGGGGCCGUUCUGACGAUGGACUGAGGGGCUCGGGGAUAGCACGUGUCCAGCGGGGCAGGUCAGCCUUUCUCUUCUCCCCACAGACCUCAGCACAGCUCUGCACCUCGGAGGACUCGGGGAAGUUUCUGGGCCUAUUUGGGCAAUAGGAGAAGGUCAUGGGCUGUCUUUCCAAAAUUCACGUCCACCCAGAACCCCCGAAUGAGACCUAUUUAAAGAGAAGGCCUUAGCUGAUGGAACAUUAAGAUGAGGCCACCCUGGAGCAGGGUGGGCCCUGAAUCCGAGGCUGCUGUCCCUGCAAGGUGACGAGAGGGUGCAGGCGUGGAGGAGACACAUGGGGGUGGGGUGAGGAACAGGCCACCGGCAGCAGAGACGGGUCAGGCCCAGCGAGGGAGGAGGUGGGAGGAGCCCCGGAGCCCUCGGAGGAAGCCGGGCUGGCACCUGGGCCUUGGACUCUGGGACUGUGAGGGAAUCAAUUCUGCCAUCUGAAGCCACCUGCUGUGGUCCUGUGUUACAGCAGCGCUGGGCACAAACAUGGGAGGGCCUCGUGAUUGGGACUGGGGCAUUCACAGGCCCGGCAGGCUGGUGAGCCGGUGCCUGGCAGGUGGGGAGGACAUGGUGUGAGAGGCGGCCUGCGGGCCGGCCAGUGAGCUCCAGCACGGGGACUGGUCACCAGCCAGUGAGCUCCAGCACGGGGACUGGUCACCGGACAGCAGUGUCAGCGUGGACGGUGAUCCCUCUAGAAGCCCUCCUUGUGUCUCGGGCCGGAAGCUAGGCACUGCACGCGCUCGGGAAUGGGCCGCUGCUGUGAGGGAGAGCGCCCGCUGUGCAGUGGGUGUCAAAUGAAUAUUAAUAAACAAAAGAGCCAAUUAUCCUUCGUUGCAGACAAGUUUCUUUGCAGAAAAUUUAGGAAAUACAAGAAGCAAAUAAAAAAAUCAAAACCACCCAGGAAUAUAACAGUUAUGAUGUGCUUUUUUCCUAAUCUUCAAAGCAAAGCUUUGGAGCCUGUAUUAUUUCUUGUUUGAAUUAAAUGCAGUUCAGAAGGAGAAAGUAAUUUCCCCAAAGCUGCCCAGUGAGGAGAGGGCGCCCAGGUGUGUCUGCUGCUGCCCCUCUCUGCAGACCCCAGAGCUGUCCCUGCAGCCCUCUCAGAGGGGGCCCCCGCCCUGGAGUCUGCCCUUCACCUUCCCCUUGCUUCGACCAGAGCUAAACUUGCCUGUGAUGACGAGGGAGUGUUUGGGAGACCCCCACGCUCUGUGUGGUUGGGCCCCUGGUCAACACCAGCCCGGCCUGCACCCCUGCUGGGGCCCUUCGAGGCUGCCCCGCUCCUGGGGACAGGCCCCCCCCGCAUGCUGCUUCCUGUAGGACCCACUCUUGAAGUCGGUCUGAGCCAUAAAUGAGACUCAUCAGGCAAUGGGCAUUUUUAUUAGAGGCAAAAUUAAAUUCGGAUGCCCAGGAUCUCUAUCAAGAGCAGAGAAAGGAGAAGAAUGACGUGUGUAUUUGUUCACUGCUUCCACCAGGAGCGCCUGCUCCCGCACCGGCCGCUCCGAGCCCCGGUCAUCGGGCUGGGGGAGUGCCUGCACCCGUACUGGCUGCUCCGAGCCCCUGUCGUCGGGCUGGGGGAGUGCCUGCUCCUGUACCGGCCGCUCCGAGCCCCGGUCGUCAGGUGCCAAUGAACCAUGUCAAACAGAUGACGUGGAUUUUUCUGAAUCUGCUGCAGAGCCAGAUUUUAAUUGAAUCAAUGGGAGAAGCAGGCCUGCUAUUAAGUUUUAUUAAAUUCUAUUUGCUUGUAUCCUUGCCAUUUAAAACAUGACUGUUUAAAAAGAAAAAAAUACUGGGCAGCCAGGCAGGGUUGAAGGUCGCAGGUUUGGGGUCACAUGGAUCUGGGUGGGACCCCCUGGGUCGGCCUCUGUGAUGCGUGUGUCUUGUAUGGAGUCAUUUUACUCCUCCGAGCCUCUGUUUCUCCUUAAGUGGGCACAGGAGUGCUCAGUACUACUUAAGGUAUUUGAAGAAUUAAAUGGGAUUAAAAUUUCAGCCGUAUAUAAACAUCUUCCUCCCUCCCUCGUCCUCCUCCUGUGUCCUCCCUCGUCCUCCUCCUGUGUCCUCCCUCAUCCUCCUCCUGUGUCCUCCCUCAUCCUCCUCUGUCCUCCCUCCUCCUCCUCCUCUAAGGAGAAGAGAAUGGUUGGCAGCAGUUUUCCCGAGUACCUGGGACAGGAGCUGGCGUUUCUGUAGACCUUUGCUCUGAAAGGAAUCUCUUGUGCGUCCUGUCUUAGUCACAUCUGUUGGACUGGGGGCGUGCUCUGCGUCUCGGUCGCGUCCGUCGGACUGGGGAGGUGCUCUGCGUGUCUCGGUCGCGUCCGUCGGACUGGGGAGGUGCUCUGCGUGUCUCGGUCGCGUCCGUCGGACUGGGGAGGUGCUCUGCGUGUCUCGGUCGCGUCCGUCGGACUGGGGAGGUUCUCUGCGUGUCUCGGUCGCGUCCGUCGGACUGGGGAGGUGCUCUGCGUCUGGGGGUUUUGGGAGAGCAAGUUGGGGGUGUGCUGGCCAGUGUCUGACAAUAGGCUGUUGGAAGCGCAGCCGUGGCGUGUAGCAUUGCCAAUCAUAGUGUCUGUAUCUCUGUCUGUCUCUCCACCACGGACCGUUCCAGGCGACCAACACGCAGUCUCCAAGCUUGGAGUUGCCUGCUGUAGGCCCCCCACCGACUGCCGGAACCCCAGCUCCCAGCCCUUCCAGCCUGUGGGUGUUGGUAGGCGGUUUCGGCAGUUGUGAGCCUGGUCAAAGCCUCAGCUCUUCCCUCACUUGGGCAAUCGGUCCUCCAUAUUAAAUCCCUUUUGUUUGACUGGUUGGAUCCCACCUGAUACAAUUGGGGUGGCCCCAACCAAGGACCUAUGGUUACAAAACAGGACACAGAAGUCCAUGAGGAGGAGUGAUUGUGCCUUACAGGAAGGGACGUAUCCACAUGUGUCAAAGGGUUUAGGGGAUCACGGUGGCUUCAGCACAGCCCACGGACGGCACAGCCUACAGAUGGCACAGCCCACGGACUGCACUGCACGUUUUCCUGAGCCCAGGGACUGUGCUGGGGUCAGGGCAAAUGCAUGUCUCCAUCCGUUUGGCAUUUUGCUAUUCAUAUAAAGGAACAUCUGAGACAGGGUAAUUCGUGAAGAAAAGGGGUGUAAGUGGCUCACGGGCCUGCAGGCUCUACAGGAAGCCUGGCACCAACAUCUGCUUCCGGGAAGGCCUCAGGGAGCUUCUUCUCAGAGCAGAGGGGACGUGGUGAGGGAGGGAGCAGGGAGGGCAGUGCCAGGACCCUUCUAACAACCAGCUCCCUCAGGAACUACUAGAGUGGAUGUUAGUUACCAUGAGGACAGUGCUGGACUGUUCAUGAGGGAUCCACCCGUGACCCAAACACGUCCCAGCAGGCACCACCUCCAUGUUGGUUAAAUUUCUACCUGAAAUUUGGAGGGGACAAACAUCCAAUCUACAUCAGCAUGUCACUGUGACUUAAACAGUAUGGUUGGUUCCCAUGUGGGGCACCCCUCUGAGGCAGGCGUGAGAGUCUAGGCCAGCAAGGACAUCCUGGUGGCCACGGCCGAGUGUUGGCCAUGCAGCCGUGCAGGGACCAUCUUCAACAGCGACACCGUGUGGCAGCAGAUGCAAAGGCAGCAGCGGACGUUGGGACAUCUCCAGCUCUGCCCCACCCAUGCAAGGGUGGGGAGCUCUUUGGAUUACAUGAUCUCUAGGAUUCGUGGGUACUUUCUCCAGAACAGGGGCAGUUCUCAAGAGGCGUGUGGCCACUUAGGCAGGUAAGGACAGAGGGGAAUAGUCAGGGAAAUAAGGACACUUGGAGGUGUAUUUGGUGAAGCAGAGUGUUUGGCAAGUCAAAGUCAUGCCUGUUGAAGAGUCUCCUGUCCGGACAGCGUGGACAGCACCUCACCUCCGCUGCCCUGCAGGGAUCUGCCAUCCCAGGUGCUCCCCUCGGGACUCCUCCUGGUGCCAGGGAGGAGGGGCUGGGCCAGGUGAGGCGGAGCAGCCAUAGGCUUCCCUCAGUGGGAGGGAACACUCACCUCCCUGAAGGGUGGGAGUUCUACUGAGGAUUCGAGAGUAAUUUUCCAGGUGUCAGGUUUUCUGUGGGAUCCUGUGUGGGCUAUGAACCAGCCAGCUUUGACUUGCCUGUCAAUUUGCCUAAUGAAUUGGUGUGUGAGCGAGCCGAGUUUGCACCUGCCAUCCUCUUGGUCUAAACUACAGGCACUGCACGUUGCAAGAUAAGGGACGUUGCACAUCCUUCACCUGGGAAACUUCUGGACUCCUAACUUCACCUGGGAAACUUCUGGACUCCUGUGAGUCUGGCUGGGGGUGGGGGGGGUCCCUGGCAAGCCACUCACUUUUGGGGCCUCACUCACUGCCCGUGUUUUGCCUCCAUGAUCUUAGAAUUUUGGCAAGAUCUGGACUAGACAGAGGGCUGAGGCUUGGGCUGGGGUUGGGAGAAUUCUCUGCUGAGAACAGAGAAACUGGGACCCCUCAGGGCUUCUUACAGGAACAGGAAGCAACGACUGGGGAGUCCCAGAGGAAGGCGUUGAGCAGAGGGGCCGUGUGGUGGGUGGGCACCCCAGCAGGCAGGGUGCUGGGGGAGGAACAUGAGCCCCUGCGGGCUUUGGAAAGAGCAGUGAAGUACAGCCCCAUUGCCUCUGCCCAGGGCUAGCGGAAAGUGAAGUGUUCCCAGCCCCAUUGCCUCUGCCCAGGGCUAGCGGAAAGUGAAGUGUUCCCAGCCCCAUUGCCUCUGCCCAGGGCUAGCGGACAGUGACGUGUCCCCGCAGGCUGAACUCCGACUGGUGACAACGGGUCAGCGUCCUCACUCCCUGGAGACUCGGAGCCUGGACUUGCCAAAUUUGGCACCUGCCCAUUUUUUUUUUUUUUCUUUGAGAUGGAGUAUCACUCUGUUGCCCAGGCUGGAGUGCUGUGGCUCGAUCUCGGCUCACUGCAACCUCCACCUCCCAGGUUCAAGCUAUAUUCUGCCUCAGCCUGCUGAGUAGCUGGGAUUACAGGUGCCUGCCACCAUGCCCAGCUAAUUUUUGUAUUUUUAGUAGAGAUGGGAUUUCACCUUAGCCAGGAUGGUCUCAAUCUCCUGACCUCAGAUGAUCCACCCACCUCAGCCUCCCAAAGUGCUGGGAUUAUAGGCGUGAACCACCGUGCCUGGCCUUUUAAAAAAAAAAUUUUAGAUUCAUGGGUACAUGUGUGGGUUUGUUAUGUGGGUAUAUAGCUUGAUGCUGAGGUUUUGGCUUCUAACGAUCCCAUCACCCAGGGAGUGAACGCAGCUCCCAACAGGUGGUUUUCCAGCCCUCGUCCUCGUCCUCCUCCCCCUCCCACCUGCCCCUCUGGAGUCCCUGGCGUCUGCUAUUCCCUCUCUGCGUCAUGUGCAUGCAGCAUUCAGCUCCCAUGGAUAAGUGAGAACACGUGGUUUUGGUUUUCUGUUCGGGUUGAGUUCUCAGGCUGACGGCCUCCAGCUGCAUGUGUGGCUGCAGGGGACGUGCUCUCCUCCAUUUUCCCGGCUGCAUCGAGUUCAUGGUCUGUCUGCACACGUGAGGCCACCUGCCAGGCCACAUCCCAGCACAGGCGUCAUCCAGUGAUUUCCUCAUCGGCCAGAGUCUGCGUCUGCAGCUUUGUGAGCCACGCGGCCAUGGCCUGACUCUGUGCCGAGAGCCCCGCAGCGGUGGCCACAGACAAUAGAUGGAGUGCACUGGUGUGAUCUCAGCUCAACCUCCGCAUCCCAGGCUCAGGUGAUCCUCCUGCCUCAGCCUCCCGAGCAGCUGGGAAUACGGGCAUGCCCCACCAUGCCCGGCUAAUUUUUGUAUUUUUUGUAGCGACAGGGUUUCGCCACGCUGCCCAGACUGGUCUCAAUUCCUGGGCUUAAGUGAUCUGUCUGCCUUGGCCUCCCAUCGUGCUGAGAUGACAGGCGUGAGCCACUGCACCCGGCCCAGGCUGUUUUCAAUUCCCCGUGUUCUGCUACCUUCCAGGUGGGGCGGGCUGGGAGGCCUCUUCUAGAGGGGCCCUCAGGCUGCUCCAAGCCCUGGAAUGCAGCCCUGGUGGCCUCAGAACACCCCAGCAGGCUGGACCCGUGCCUCUGCCCCAGGGUGUAGGGUCCGGGUGGCCUGGGGUCGUCCCCUUGGGAGCUGCAUGGGUGGCCGCUGCUACUCCUACCUGGGAGGACAUCCCGUGGCAGGGGUAGAGGAUCGCCCGGUCGCCGUCCUCCGCUCCCUGGUCCAGACAGUAGGCACUGGCUUUGCUGUUUCUCACCUGCAAGCAGAAGCCCCAGGAGAAAGUCCAGAGUCACCCGAGGGUGCGGCCCCAGGGAGCUUCACGCAGCCAGCUCUGCAGCCAGCACCUAAGGAGGAACCCUGACAGCCCUCUGAGAACAAGCCCGGGCCAGACUGCUGGGGGAUGUGUUGUCAUCGGGCAGCCAACCUCCAGCCUCCAGAACAGGCCCAUCGGAGAUCAGCACAGCCUGGAUCAGGCCAGCAGCACUGCCUGGGUGGCCCCGGCUCGUGAGCAAGUGUAGAUGCUUAUUGCUUUUGUCCACCGCGUCUCCAGGCUGCUGGGUUUGCAGCAGCAGCUGACCCAUCCACCACGGCCACCACGAGAGGUCACACAGGUACCACUUGAAGCUGCGACACUUCAGCCUCUGACGCAGGGCCAGCCUCUCAGACACGUCCCCGAAGUCCACCCCUGGGUUCUGCAAGGCCAGAAGUAGGUGAGAGGAGGGUCUGAGGCAGCUGCUCCUGAUGGGAAGGACCCUGCCAGAGGCCAGCCCCGGCCUGGACAGACGGCCCCUGCUGCAGCCGGCUCGUCCACACCCACCCGGGCCCAGGAACCUCCUGCCUGAGAAGACGGCCCUGCUCACCUGGCCUUACUGCACGGCAUCAGCCUGACCUCUGGAGGGUGGAGACUGAGGUCAGCCAUAUCCAGAGACCAGCCUGGUGAGGACCCUGGAUACUGAGGCUUGGGGGCUCCUGGCUGGCCCCGCCUGGCACGUGUUGUCACGCAUGGGUGCCGGAGAAUCAAGUCCUUGGGACCCCCCGCGGGGGGACACCUGAGAGCUUGUACCUGGCCUUUCCUGGUCCCUGCCCAGGCGUCUCUUCCCUCUGCUGACUUUGACCCGUGUCCUCUGCCGUGAGAACCCACAGCCGAGUGCGGUGUCUGUGUCUUCCUGGGACUGUGGGGCCUGAGAGGCUGUAGGGACCAGCACUCUCUGACGGACAGCCAGCCCUGAGGGAGCACCUGCACCCUGCCCAGGGACCCUCCAGGCUCAGGCCUUGUGGGGAGGGCAGACGACUUGGCCUUCACGGCCUGGGCUUGAAUCCCGUCACCUUCUGGCCUGAGUAGGACAGAAAGGCCGAGGCAGGGAGUGUUCACACACUCUGCUCGAUUCGGGCUGGGACGUGGGUCCUCCCCUGCCUUCAGGCUUGGAGCUCACGCCACCGGCUCUCCUGGGCGCCUGCCAGCCGACGGCCAAUCUCGGUACCCUCAGCCCCCGUAACCGGGUGAGUCAAUUCCUUAGAUGAACUUUCACAGCUAAGCCCACGUCCCCACCAUCUGCUAUUAAUCUGUUUCCCUGGAGAGCCCUGAGCCAGCCCCGUCCCAUCCUAUCCUACCCUAUCCUGUGCUGUCCCAUCCCAUCCACCCCAUUAAAAAAAGGCCGAUGCCACCCACGGGCUGACAUCACUAUGAACAAAUGGGUCUGAUCCACGUGGCCCAAGCUCCGCCGUGCUCAGGUCCUCAGCCCUGAGCCUGCCAUGCUGGACGAGUGUGCCAGGCCCAGGGCGGGCACUGUGCUUGCCUCAUCUCCUGAAUCCCCCCACCACCCGAGAAAGGGUGGGCAGCCCUGGCAUUGCCCCGUUCCCUCCGCGGUGCUGAGAAGGUGCCGAGGCCGAGGGUGGUGCCAACUGCAGGGGCGCACGGGGUGGAGCCUCUGCCCAGCUGAGCUCGGAUCCCUCAGUCAUCCCUGGACUCUGGUUCAUCCUCGUCCAGGCUGCUCUCAUCUCCAGGCCGUUAUCUUAAUCAUGUCUGCAAAGAUCCCUUUUCCCAAAGAGGGCCACACUCACACGUCCCCUAGCUGCAUCCUCCGGGGGUCGCCUGUCAGCCCAGCCC
Molecule: long non-coding RNA, 8955 nt
Filed under: Homo sapiens (human)
Lineage: Eukaryota; Metazoa; Chordata; Mammalia; Primates; Hominidae
Description: HSALNT0371902
Source: RNAcentral